Molecule: ribosomal RNA, 434 nt
Filed under: uncultured Coprococcus sp.
Lineage: Bacteria; Bacillati; Bacillota; Clostridia; Lachnospirales; Lachnospiraceae
Description: partial 16S ribosomal RNA
Rfam family: Bacterial small subunit ribosomal RNA
Source: RNAcentral
ACGGAAGGCAGCAGUGGGGAAUAUUGCACAAUGGGGGAAACCCUGAUGCAGCAACGCCGCGUGAGUGAAGAAGUAUUUCGGUAUGUAAAGCUCUAUCAGCAGGGAAGAUAAUGACGGUACCUGACUAAGAAGCUCCGGCUAAAUACGUGCCAGCAGCCGCGGUAAUACGUAUGGAGCAAGCGUUAUCCGGAUUUACUGGGUGUAAAGGGUGCGUAGGCGGCGAAGUAAGUCAGAAGUGAAAGACCGGGGCUCAACUCCGGGGCUGCUUUUGAAACUGCAUUGCUGGAGUCCAGGAGAGGCAGGCGGAAUUCCUAGUGUAGCGGUGAAAUGCGUAGAUAUUAGGAAGAACACCGGUGGCGAAGGCGGCCUGCUGGACUGGUACUGACGCUGAGGCACGAAAGCGUGGGGAGCAAACAGGAUUAGAUACCCUGGUA